RNAcentral lists this long non-coding RNA (389 nucleotides) under Pan troglodytes (chimpanzee). RNAcentral describes it as "long non-coding RNA NONPTRT002061". The record is from RNAcentral. Lineage: Eukaryota; Metazoa; Chordata; Mammalia; Primates; Hominidae.
CAGAGAGGAAGUCCCUGUACCCUGUGGAGGAAGAGAGGCCUUGAUGUGUACCCUGUGGAGGAAGAGAGGCCUUGAUGGAGAGAACCCAGAGGCCAAAGGCCAGCACCACCUGCUUGGCAUCGACUACUUCUUGGAAGAGCAGUGGAGAGAAAAAUAUUGUUUCUUUUUCUUGGGAAAUUGGCAGAGACAUGCUGAAGAAAUCAGCUACAGCUGUUCUCCACACCUGGAUAAAUUUUUAAUAAGAACUUAACACACCCGCCCUCCAGAAAGGGUGGUCUGUGGUGUCGAUGGUGUUGUCUCUCCCAGGGCUCUUCUGGGCAGCUUUCUCUGUGACCUGGAGAGCGAAGAGUCUAUUUCCAUCACAUUUCAGCUGCCAAACUCCCCUUUAA